Non-coding RNA from Megalobrama amblycephala (Wuchang bream), 765 nucleotides. The record is from the annotation of a RefSeq genome assembly. Lineage: Eukaryota; Metazoa; Chordata; Actinopteri; Cypriniformes; Xenocyprididae.
UAAUUUUCAUUUUUGGGUGAACUAACACUUUAAAGCUUGUUAAUUUGGUUUAUGCCUUAGAACUUUUUCAAUUGAGAACUAUUGCCCUGCCCAUUUUAACAUGACAUCACUUCCUGUGUCUAGUUCUGCUGCUUUACUGAAGACCUCAUUAGUGUUCCAUGGCAUCAGCAUCAUCCAACAUGAUUAGAUUUGUAUUUAAAGUAAUCUUCUUCCUGAGUUGGUUUACAGGUUGUCUGAUUUGUGAGAAGGUGCAUCAGUCCCCUUCAGAUGUGCUGUGUGAACCCAAGAAGUCUGUAGAGCUGACCUGCAGACAUAAAAUUACUAGCUAUGACACAAUAUUGUGGUAUCAGAGGUCAUAUGGAGAUUCUACCCUGAAACUCAUCGGUUAUGCACGAUAUAGAAGCAUAAAAGAAUUUGAGGAAUCGUAUAAGAAUCAUUUCAAUUUAACUGGAAAUGGAGAAGAGGAAGUUACUUUAAAGAUUCUCCAAGCAAGACCAGACCAGGACAGUGCAGAGUAUUUCUGUGCAGCUUCUUAUGCACAAUGCCACAAAAGUGCUUUCUUCCAUGACAAAAACUUUUAUGUUCAGUAUAUCAUGGUACACCUGCAUGAAACCACAUUUGCAAGUUUUAGAAAAGAUAAUUGAAAACAAAAAGCUAAAAUGGUACGCAGAGAAAACAUUAAGUGUGCUAACACAUUUAAAUUAAUCAUUUGAUACAAUGCACUUGUGUGCAUAAAUAAAUACCUGUAUGUAAUUACAUUGUAAU